RNAcentral lists this ribosomal RNA (449 nucleotides) under uncultured bacterium. RNAcentral's name for it is "partial 16S ribosomal RNA". It matches the Rfam family "Bacterial small subunit ribosomal RNA", at positions 29 to 523 of the family's 1533-position model. The record is from RNAcentral.
AGCGAACGCUGGCGGCAGGCCUAACACAUGCAAGUCGAACGGAUCCUUCGGGAUUAGUGGCGGACGGGUGCGUAACACGUGGGAACGUGCCCUUUGGUUCGGAACAACUCAGGGAAACUUGAGCUAAUACCGGAUGUGCCCUUCGGGGGAAAGAUUUAUCGCCAUUGGAGCGGCCCGCGUCUGAUUAGCUGGUUGGUGAGGUAAAGGCUAACCAAGGCGACGACCAGUAGCUGGUCUGAGAGGAUGAUCAGCCACAUUGGGACUGAGACACGGCCCAAACUCCUACGGGAGGCAGCAGUGGGGAAUCUUGCGCAAUGGGCGAAAGCCUGACGCAGCCAUGCCGCGUGAAUGAUGAAGGUCUUAGGAUUGUAAAAUUCUUUCCCCGGGGACGAUAAAGAAGGUACCCGGAGAAGAAGCCCCGGCUAACUUCGUGCCAGCAGCCGCCGUAA